AGAGCGAACGCUGGCGGCAGGCCUAACACAUGCAAGUCGAGCGCUCCGCAAGGGGAGCGGCAGACGGGAGAGUAACACGUGGGAACGUACCCUUCAGUUCGGAACAACCCAGGGAAACUUGGGCUAAUACCGAAUACGUCCGUAAGGAGAAAGAUUUAUCGCUGAAGGAUCGGCCCGCGUCUGAUUAGCUUGUUGGUGAGGUAACGGCUCACCAAGGCGACGAUCAGUAGCUGGUCUGAGAGGAUGAUCAGCCUCACUGGGACUGAGACACGGCCCAGACUCCUACGGGAGGCAGCAGUGGGGAAUAUUGGACAAUGGGCGCAAGCCUGAUCCAGCCAUGCCGCGUGGGUGAUGAAGGCCCUAGGGUUGUAAAGCCCUUUCGGCGGGGAAGAUAAUGACGGUACCCGCAGAAGAAGCCCCGGCUAACUUCGCGCCAGCAGCCGC
Molecule: ribosomal RNA, 444 nt
Filed under: uncultured bacterium
Lineage: Bacteria
Description: SSU rRNA
Rfam family: Bacterial small subunit ribosomal RNA
Source: RNAcentral